This 219-nucleotide long non-coding RNA is filed under the name Elaeis guineensis (African oil palm). RNAcentral's name for it is "long non-coding RNA (EGUI_LNC082753)". The record is from RNAcentral. Lineage: Eukaryota; Viridiplantae; Streptophyta; Magnoliopsida; Arecales; Arecaceae.
GUGGCUGGGCCGAUUAAGUAGAUCAGGCCAUAUCAAUUUUAAACCUAUUUUGGAUUGGGAUAUUACACUUAACAACUUGAGAACAUGUCAUAACAACCUACUGACAUAGCGUAACAACACAAGGCAUGUUGUAACAGCCUCCCACAUGAUGGAAUUGCUAAAACCUCAUGUGUAUUUGAACAGAGGGGUCAAGUUGCUCCUACCCUGAGGAGGUCCUAC